Molecule: ribosomal RNA, 253 nt
Filed under: uncultured bacterium
Lineage: Bacteria
Description: partial 16S ribosomal RNA
Rfam family: Bacterial small subunit ribosomal RNA
Source: RNAcentral
UACGUGGGGGGCUAGCGUUGUCCGGAAUCAUUGGGCGUAAAGCGCGUGUAGGCGGUCCGGUAAGUCCGCUGUGAAAGUCGAGGGCUCAACCCUCGGAUGCCGGUGGAUACUGUCGGGCUUGAGUACGGAAGAGGCGAGUGGAAUUCCUGGUGUAGCGGUGAAGUGCGCAGAUAUCAGGAGGAACACCAAUUGCGAAGGCAGCUCGCUGGGACGUUACUGACGCUGAGACGCGAAAGCGUGGGGAGCAAACAGG